GGCGCACGGGUGAGUAACACGUAUGCAACUUACCCUGUACAGGGGGGUAACCCGGAGAAAUUCGGACUAAUACCCCAUAAAGAUAUCGAGGGGCAUCCUUUGAUAUUUAAAGCUCAGGCGGUACGGGAUGGGCAUGCGGAACAUUAGCUAGUUGGCAGGGUAACGGCCUACCAAGGCUACGAUGUUUAGGGGACCUGAGAGGGUGAUCCCCCACACUGGUACUGAGACACGGACCAGACUCCUACGGGAGGCAGCAGUGAGGAAUAUUGGUCAAUGGGCGCAAGCCUGAACCAGCCAUCCCGCGUGCAGGAAGACGGCCCUAUGGGUUGUAAACUGCUUUUCCAGGGGGAGAAUUUUUCUGUCGUGGCAGGAAUUGACGGUACCCUGGGAAUAAGCAUCGGCUAACUCCGUGCCAGCAGCCGCGGUAAUACGGAGGAUGCGAGCGUUAUCCGGAUUUAUUGGGUUUAAAGGGUGCGUAGGCGGAUUGAUAAGUCAGUGGUGAAAACCUGCAGCUUAACUGUAGACUUGCCGUUGAUACUGUCAGUCUUGAGUAUGGUCAAGGUAGGCGGAAUGUG
This 575-nucleotide ribosomal RNA is filed under the name uncultured Bacteroidota bacterium. RNAcentral's name for it is "bacterial SSU rRNA". It matches the Rfam family "Bacterial small subunit ribosomal RNA", at positions 97 to 670 of the family's 1533-position model. The record is from RNAcentral. Lineage: Bacteria; Pseudomonadati; Bacteroidota.